UGGGGAAUUUUGGACAAUGGGCGAAAGCCUGAUCCAGCAAUGCCGCGUGUGUGAAGAAGGCCUUCGGGUUGUAAAGCACUUUUGUCCGGAAAGAAAUCCUUGGCUCUAAUACAGUCGGGGGAUGACGGUACCGGAAGAAUAAGCACCGGCUAACUACGUGCCAGCAGCCGCGGUAAUACGUAGGGUGCAAGCGUUAAUCGGAAUUACUGGGCGUAAAGCGUGCGCAGGCGGUUUGCUAAGACCGAUGUGAAAUCCCCGGGCUCAACCUGGGAACUGCAUUGGUGACUGGCAGGCUAGAGUAUGGCAGAGGGGGGUAGAAUUCCACGUGUAGCAGUGAAAAUGCGUAGAGAUGUGGAGGAAUACCGAUGGCGAAAGGCAGCCCCCUGGGCCAAUACUGACGCUCAUGCACGAAAAGCGUGGGGAGCAAAACAGGAUUAGAUACCCUGGUAGUCCACGCCCUAAAACGAUGUCAACUAGUUGUUGGGGAUUCAUUUCCUUAGUAACGUAGCUAACGCGUGAAGUUGACCGCCUGGGGAGUACGGUCGC
This 546-nucleotide ribosomal RNA is filed under the name uncultured bacterium. RNAcentral describes it as "partial 16S ribosomal RNA". It matches the Rfam family "Bacterial small subunit ribosomal RNA", at positions 355 to 889 of the family's 1533-position model. The record is from RNAcentral.